AUGCAAGUCGAGCGGAUGACGGGAGCUUGCUCCUUGAUUCAGCGGCGGACGGGUGAGUAAUGCCUAGGAAUCUGCCUGGUAGUGGGGGACAACGUUUCGAAAGGAACGCUAAUACCGCAUACGUCCUACGGGAGAAAGCAGGGGACCUUCGGGCCUUGCGCUAUCAGAUGAGCCUAGGUCGGAUUAGCUAGUUGGUGGGGUAAUGGCUCACCAAGGCGACGAUCCGUAACUGGUCUGAGAGGAUGAUCAGUCACACUGGAACUGAGACACGGUCCAGACUCCUACGGGAGGCAGCAGUGGGGAAUAUUGGACAAUGGGCGAAAGCCUGAUCCAGCCAUGCCGCGUGUGUGAAGAAGGUCUUCGGAUUGUUAAGCACUUUAAGUUGGGA
RNAcentral lists this ribosomal RNA (388 nucleotides) under uncultured Pseudomonas sp. RNAcentral describes it as "bacterial SSU rRNA". It matches the Rfam family "Bacterial small subunit ribosomal RNA", at positions 55 to 445 of the family's 1533-position model. The record is from RNAcentral. Lineage: Bacteria; Pseudomonadati; Pseudomonadota; Gammaproteobacteria; Pseudomonadales; Pseudomonadaceae.